CGUGGCCGUUUCACAGGAGAAGGCUCACUCUCCGACUGUGAAUCUGUUGUAUUCACAACAAAUAUUUUAGGAAAAUAUUAGAACUUCCUUGCUGAGGCAUCCCUUUGGGCAGAUUGAAGUUGCCCUGGAUCAGCAAGGAAGAGAUAACUGUUGUGGCUAAAACAUGGUACAUAUUCUUGUUAUUUCAAUUAGCUUAUCUGAUCCACUGCUUAUCAACAUCAUGACUUUCCUUGACCAAACAUCUAAUGAAGUCAGAGGAGGAAUACCUGCUGGCCUCUGCCUCCAGGUAUGCUCCAUUAACUUGCCCUGCGUCCUCACAUGCGGUAUAAACUAACACACUUCCCUUAUCUGAGUUUCAGACCCUGUCUCACAGUGGUUUUCCACUUGUUGGACUCCAGUGUUACAGCCAUUACAAAUACACAGCUUACCUCAGUUGGAUCUAUUUUAUUUCUGUCAUACUGCUCUUAAGAUACGAUGAAAAUGUUCCUGGGUUUUCAAUAAGUA
Long non-coding RNA from Columba livia (rock pigeon), 504 nucleotides. RefSeq lists it as uncharacterized. The transcript is spliced from 2 exons. NCBI's taxonomy places the organism in Eukaryota, Metazoa, Chordata, Aves, Columbiformes, Columbidae. The record is from RefSeq and is a predicted model, not a curated record.